AUUGGUUUAAUCUCUGGUAUAUCAAAUGAGAGGGAGUAUAUUCGUGCUGGCAAAGUCAUCAAGAUGGUUGUGCUUGAACUUACAGACAAUAGUGGUAAAUGUGAAUGCGCGUUGUUUGGUGAUCAUGUUGAUGAGUUGCAAAGAUUAAUUGGUAAUUGUCCUUCCGGUCUCCACGUUGUUGCACUACAGUUUGCCAAAGUUAAAAUAUUUAGAGGGAAAGUUUCCAUUCAAGAUGUUAUGAAUACCACAAGGAUUUUUCUUGACCCUG
This is a long non-coding RNA of Trifolium pratense (red clover), 268 nucleotides long. RefSeq lists it as uncharacterized. Lineage: Eukaryota; Viridiplantae; Streptophyta; Magnoliopsida; Fabales; Fabaceae. The transcript has 3 exons. The record is from RefSeq and is a predicted model, not a curated record.